CGCGGCCUAUCAGCUUGUUGGUGGGGUAACGGCCUACCAAGGCUUCGACGGGUAGCUGGUCUGAGAGGACGAUCAGCCGGAUUGGGACUGAGAUACGGCCCAGACUCCUACGGGGGGCAGCAAUUAGGAAUCUUGCACAAUGGGGGCAACCCUGAUGCAGCGACGUCGCGUGGAGGAUGAAAUCUUUCGGGAUGUAAACUCCUUUUCUCAGGGAAGAAAAAAAUGACGGUACCUGAGGAAUAAGCCCCGGCUAACUACGUGCCAGCAGCCGCGGUAAUACGUAGGGGGCGAGCGUUGUCCGAAGUUACUGGGCGUAAAGAGCGCGUAGGCGGGCUUCUAAGUGAGAGGUGAAAGGUUCGGGCUCAACCCGGAGAGUGCCUUUCAUACUGGGAGCCUUGAGUGCGGGAGAGGCAAGUGGAAUGGUCGGUGUAGCGGUGAAAUGCGUAGAUAUCGAUCGGAACACCCGUGGCGAAGGCGGCUUGCUGGCUCGCAACUGACGCUGAGGCGCGAAAGCGUGGGGAGCAAACAGGAUUAGAUACCCUGGUAGUCCACGCCGUAAACGAUGAGUGCUAGAUGUCCGGGGUAUCGACCCCCCUGGUGUCGCAGCUAACGCAAUAAGCACCCCGCCUGGGGAGUACG
RNAcentral lists this ribosomal RNA (639 nucleotides) under uncultured bacterium. Its description in RNAcentral is "bacterial SSU rRNA". It matches the Rfam family "Bacterial small subunit ribosomal RNA", at positions 232 to 884 of the family's 1533-position model. The record is from RNAcentral.